Molecule: ribosomal RNA, 200 nt
Filed under: uncultured organism
Description: partial small subunit ribosomal RNA
Rfam family: Bacterial small subunit ribosomal RNA
Source: RNAcentral
GUCAAGUCAUCAUGCCCCUUAUGCCCAGGGCUACACACGUGCUACAUUGGCCGGUACAAAGGGCUGCGAUACCGCGAGGUGGAGCGAAUCCCAAAAAGCCGGUCUCGGUUCGGAUUGGAGGCUGAAACUCGCCUCCAUGAAGGCGGAGUUGCUAGUAAUCGCGGAUCAGCAAUGCCGCGGUGAAUACAUUCCCGGGCCUU